This 497-nucleotide ribosomal RNA is filed under the name uncultured bacterium. Its description in RNAcentral is "partial 16S ribosomal RNA". It matches the Rfam family "Bacterial small subunit ribosomal RNA", at positions 28 to 507 of the family's 1533-position model. The record is from RNAcentral.
GAUGAACGCUGGCGGCGUGCCUAAUACAUGCAAGUCGAGCGAACAGGCGAGGAGCUUGCUCCUCUGACGUUAGCGGCGGACGGGUGAGUAACACGUGGAUAACCUACCUAUAAGACUGGGAUAACUUCGGGAAACCGGAGCUAAUACCGGAUAAUAUAUUGAACCGCAUGGUUCAAUAGUGAAAGACGGUUUUGCUGUCACUUAUAGAUGGAUCCGCGCCGCAUUAGCUAGUUGGUAAGGUAACGGCUUACCAAGGCAACGAUGCGUAGCCGACCUGAGAGGGUGACCGGCCACACUGGAACUGAGACACGGUCCAGACUCCUACGGGAGGCAGCAGUAGGGAAUCUUCCGCAAUGGGCGAAAGCCUGACGGAGCAACGCCGCGUGAGUGAUGAAGGUCUUCGGAUCGUAAAACUCUGUUAUUAGGGAAGAACAAAUGUGUAAGUAACUAUGCACGUCUUGACGGUACCUAAUCAGAAAGCCACGGCUAACUACGUG